This 803-nucleotide long non-coding RNA is filed under the name Bos indicus x Bos taurus (hybrid cattle). RNAcentral's name for it is "lncRNA (ENSBIXG00000014460.1)". Lineage: Eukaryota; Metazoa; Chordata; Mammalia; Artiodactyla; Bovidae. The record is from RNAcentral.
AUGUCAGAGCUUGGUAAAGAUACCUCCUGUGAGCAGAGGUGGUCAGGAGUCCCCGGGCUGGUCCUCAGUCCCUACAGAAACAUGGUGGGCCCAGUACACCAGGUCGGCCACGUAAAUCAGCAGGUUGAUGGCUGUCAGGAUGGCCACAGCCAGUCGCUGGUCCCAGACGCAUACAUAGUUGGUAAGUCUAUGUUGACAGCUCACAUCCCUGGACCUCUCGGGCUGCCCACCAAACUUUUCAUCAAAUUGGUAGAGUGGCCAGAGGACCAGAGCACCAAUGUAGAGAAGGACAGACAGCAGGCUCAGCACCAGAUGGAACAUGGAGGAGGAGAUGGGCAGCCAGUUCUCAUAGUUAGCCAGGUUCAACAGGAUGGUCACGAUCCCCAGGAUGAAGCAGAUGGAGUACACGGCCACGCACGACACCAGCAAUGGAUGGUCCAUGUACAGGACACUGGGCUGCACUCUGAGAAGUUCCUGUUGCUCCCCUGACCAUCAUGUGGCCAGAGAAAUUGGUCCUUUUUCACGUUUAGGUGAUUCAGUUCCGUUCAGUCGCUCAGUGGUGUCCAACUCUGCGACCCCAUGAAUCGCAGCACGCCAGGCCUCCCUGCCUGUCCAUCACCAACUCCCGGAGUUCACUCAAACUCAUGUCCAUCGAGUCGGUGAUGCCAUCCAGCCAUCUCGUUCUCCGCCGUUCCCUUCUCCUCCUGCCCCUAAUCCCUCCCAGCAUCAGAGUCUUUUCCAAUGAGUCAACUCUUCGCAUGAUUACAAUGUGUUCAAUAAACUUCUGGAUCAUCUAUCCGACA